Molecule: ribosomal RNA, 879 nt
Filed under: Pseudomonas aeruginosa
Lineage: Bacteria; Pseudomonadati; Pseudomonadota; Gammaproteobacteria; Pseudomonadales; Pseudomonadaceae
Description: bacterial SSU rRNA
Rfam family: Bacterial small subunit ribosomal RNA
Source: RNAcentral
AGAGUUUGGAUCAUGGCUCAGAUUGAACGCUGGCGGCAGGCCUAACACAUGCAAGUCGAGCGGAUGAAGGGAGCUUGCUCCUGGAUUCAGCGGCGGACGGGUGAGUAAUGCCUAGGAAUCUGCCUGGUAGUGGGGGAUAACGUCCGGAAACGGGCGCUAAUACCGCAUACGUCCUGAGGGAGAAAGUGGGGGAUCUUCGGACCUCACGCUAUCAGAUGAGCCUAGGUCGGAUUAGCUAGUUGGUGGGGUAAAGGCCUACCAAGGCGACGAUCCGUAACUGGUCUGAGAGGAUGAUCAGUCACACUGGAACUGAGACACGGUCCAGACUCCUACGGGAGGCAGCAGUGGGGAAUAUUGGACAAUGGGCGAAAGCCUGAUCCAGCCAUGCCGCGUGUGUGAAGAAGGUCUUCGGAUUGUAAAGCACUUUAAGUUGGGAGGAAGGGCAGUAAGUUAAUACCUUGCUGUUUUGACGUUACCAACAGAAUAAGCACCGGCUAACUUCGUGCCAGCAGCCGCGGUAAUACGAAGGGUGCAAGCGUUAAUCGGAAUUACUGGGCGUAAAGCGCGCGUAGGUGGUUCAGCAAGUUGGAUGUGAAAUCCCCGGGCUCAACCUGGGAACUGCAUCCAAAACUACUGAGCUAGAGUACGGUAGAGGGUGGUGGAAUUUCCUGUGUAGCGGUGAAAUGCGUAGAUAUAGGAAGGAACACCAGUGGCGAAGGCGACCACCUGGACUGAUACUGACACUGAGGUGCGAAAGCGUGGGGAGCAAACAGGAUUAGAUACCCUGGUAGUCCACGCCGUAAACGAUGUCGACUAGCCGUUGGGAUCCUUGAGAUCUUAGUGGCGCAGCUAACGCGAUAAGUCGACCGCUGGAUGUCC